Molecule: long non-coding RNA, 234 nt
Filed under: Carica papaya (papaya)
Lineage: Eukaryota; Viridiplantae; Streptophyta; Magnoliopsida; Brassicales; Caricaceae
Description: long non-coding RNA (CPAP_LNC002675)
Source: RNAcentral
UGGCCAUAUCGGAGUAAGAGGGACGACAGGUGAGCCGAAAACUGCGGCCAAAUCCUAGCGAAGUCGCCGUAGCCAAAAAUUUAAAAUUUCUUUGAUGAGCCCCUUCCUAUUUUCUAUUUCACGUGAUUCUUUGAUCAUUGUGUUUGUCGUUCCUUUCUAUAUAGGUUAGCUAGAGAAGAAUCCCUAACUGCAAAGGAGUUCCGGCAGAGUCACCGCACCCAAAGACCCUCCGCC